AACGAACGCUGGCGGCAUGCCUAACACAUGCAAGUCGAACGAGACCUUCGGGCAUGGUGGCGCCCGGGUGCGUAAGGCGGGGUAACCUACCCUUAGGUUCGCAGUAACUGCCGGUAAGGGGUGCUAAGACCGGCUAAUAUCUUCGGAGCAAAGAGUUAGCGCGCUUGGAUGGGCCCGGGUUGGAUUAGCUAGUUGGUAGGGUAAAAGCCUACCAAGGCGACGAUCCAUAGCUGGUCUGAGAGGAUGAUCAGCCACACUGGGACUGAGACACGGCCCAGACUCUUACGGGAGGGAGCAGUGGGGAAUAUUGGACAAUGGGCGAAAGCCUGAUCCAGCAAUGGCGCGUAAGUGAUGAUGGCCUGAGGGUAGUAAAGCUGUUUUAACCGCGAUGAUAAUGACAGUACCGGGAGAAUAAGCCCCGGCUAACUCCGUG
RNAcentral lists this ribosomal RNA (433 nucleotides) under uncultured bacterium. RNAcentral's name for it is "partial 16S ribosomal RNA". It matches the Rfam family "Bacterial small subunit ribosomal RNA", at positions 29 to 507 of the family's 1533-position model. The record is from RNAcentral.